CAGUCUAAAGACGAGCAGAGUUCCAUGGAGGAGAAAUACCGCAAUGAGCUCAACGCUCAUAUCAAGUUGUCUUCCCUCUACAAGGGGUCAGUGACAGACAUGGAGACAAAGAAUCAAGAACUGAGCAGAGCAUUGGAAGAGCUCAGCAAGCUGGUUAAAGAAACUGGGGAAGCCAAUAAGGCUCUAGAAAAGAAGGUGUCGGAGGGAGAACUGAAGAAGCGGCUUGAAGCAGA
Molecule: long non-coding RNA, 233 nt
Organism: Sander lucioperca (pikeperch)
Lineage: Eukaryota; Metazoa; Chordata; Actinopteri; Perciformes; Percidae
Exons: 3
Source: RefSeq, a predicted model, not a curated record